Molecule: ribosomal RNA, 868 nt
Filed under: Pseudomonas luteola
Lineage: Bacteria; Pseudomonadati; Pseudomonadota; Gammaproteobacteria; Pseudomonadales; Pseudomonadaceae
Description: bacterial SSU rRNA
Source: RNAcentral
CAUGCGAGUCGAGCGGAUGAGGAGAGCUUGCUCUCUGAUUCAGCGGCGGACGGGUGAGUAAUGCCUAGGAAUCUGCCUGGUAGUGGGGGACAACGUUUCSAAAGGAACGCUAAUACCGCAUACGUCCUACGGGAGAAAGUGGGGGAUCUUCGGACCUCACGCUAUCAGAUGAGCCUAGGUCGGAUUAGCUAGUUGGUGGGGUAACGGCUCACCAAGGCGACGAUCCGUAACUGGUCUGAGAGGAUGAUCAGUCACACUGGAACUGAGACACGGUCCAGACUCCUACGGGAGGCAGCAGUGGGGAAUAUUGGACAAUGGGCGAAAGCCUGAUCCAGCCAUGCCGCGUGUGUGAAGAAGGCCCUCGGGUCGUAAAGCACUUUAAGCUGGGAGGAAGGGYUGUAACCUAAUACGUUGCAGCUUUGACGUUACCAGCAGAAUAAGCACCGGCUAACUCUGUGCCAGCAGCCGCGGUAAUACAGAGGGUGCAAGCGUUAAUCGGAAUUACUGGGCGUAAAGCGCGCGUAGGUGGCUUGGUAAGUUGAAUGUGAAAUCCYCGGGCUCAACCUGGGAACUGCAUCCAAAACUGCCUGGCUAGAGUACGGUAGAGGGUGGUGGAAUUUCCUGUGUAGCGGUGAAAUGCGGUAGAUAUAGGAAGGAACACCAGUGGCGAAGGCGACCACCUGGACUGAUACUGACACUGAGGUGCGAAAGCGUGGGRGAGCAAAACAGGAUUAGAUACCCUGGGUAGUCCACGCCGUAAACGAUGUCAACUAGCCGUUGGGGUCCUUGAGACUUUAGUGGCGCASCUAACGCAAUAAGUUUGACCGCCUGGGGAGUACGGCCGCAAGGGUUAAAACYUCARAAUGAA